GAUGAACGCUAGCUACAGGCUUAACACAUGCAAGUCGCGGGGCAGCAUGGGGGUUGCUUGCCAUCCCCGAUGGCGACCGGCGCACGGGUGAGUAACGCGUAUCCAACCUGCCCUUCACCACGGGCUAACCCGGCGAAAGGCGGACUAAUACCGUAUGUUUUCCAUUGACGGCAUCCGAGUGAGACGAAAGGCUUGUGGGUCUGGUAGGGGGAUCCGCGCCGCUUUAGCGAGUUGGGGAGGUAAGGGCUCACCAAGGCAACGAUGCGGGGGGGACCUGAGGGGGGGAUCGGCCACACUGGAACUGAGACACGGUCCAGACGCCUACGGGAGGCAGCAGUAGGGAAGCUUCCGCAAUGGGCGAAAGCCUGACGGAGCAACGCGGCGUGAGUGAUGAAGGUCUUCGGAUCGUAAAACUGUGUUAUUAGGGAAGAACAAAUGUGUAAGGAACUAUGCACGUCUUGACGGUACCUAAUGAGAAAGCCACGGCUAACUACGUG
Molecule: ribosomal RNA, 497 nt
Filed under: uncultured bacterium
Lineage: Bacteria
Description: partial 16S ribosomal RNA
Rfam family: Bacterial small subunit ribosomal RNA
Source: RNAcentral